UCCAAAAUCCCGGCUUUCGGUUUCUUCCACCACAAGGAACCAGGCCGCGCCGCCGCCUCCUCCGCCACCUCCCCCGCCGCCAAUGCCAAUUCAGACUCAAACCCACGACGCCCAACAGAGAGCUCCAUCGUUUUCUCAUAAGAGGCCGAAAUUCUCCUCCCCACCUCCACCAAAUUUGACUCGUGUAUCUAAAGCCCCUGUUCCGCCUCCUCCGCCACCGCCGCCGUCGCGACCGACGAUAUUAAGGCAAGUUGGGGAUUCAGAAAGAGUGGUUUCUGCAAGGCCAGCUCAAGUUCCGGUGAAGCCACAGCCACAAUCCUCCUUUGCAGCAAUCCCGAAAGGGCCUUUGGAAAAUGGGACAAGAAAA
RNAcentral lists this long non-coding RNA (367 nucleotides) under Malus domestica (apple). RNAcentral's name for it is "long non-coding RNA (MDOM_LNC001636)". Lineage: Eukaryota; Viridiplantae; Streptophyta; Magnoliopsida; Rosales; Rosaceae. The record is from RNAcentral.